GGCAGCACCGGAUCCCAGUAGCACGUUAUAUUUUGAAGAGUGGAGGUGAGGCCCCCCCUUCUUCCCCGGCUGGGGCCUAGUGCACAGCAGGUGUGAGUGAGUCCUUCGGAUCACCGUGCAACAUAGGCAUGGGACGCAGAGGACGCUUGCUGAGUAGUGGAAGCAGUGCACAGCUGACAGCUUUGGCAAAGUCAUGACUGAAGGCUGCCUGAAGGGGCUGUCGAGUGACCCAUUAAGGGGAGCAGCCUCAGAAAUCCAAGCAACUGGCAGCAGGUCAACAUGGCCUGUUAGCAUAAGCUGAUGGUCACUAAGCACCAGCAUCUGUCAAUGCACGCGCCACCACUUCCAACCACUCUAACUUUCUUGUGACAUGUAUGUACUCUCACUCUCUCUCUUUCACACACACACACACAAGCACUCACAGAUAGGCACAUGCACAGAUACACACAUAUUUACCAGUUAAUGGACACAAUCUUUAGCUUGUGAAAUUGCCUCAGACUGGAUUCUGUGGUCUUUUGUUUGCACUUUUAUAACCUGUCCCUUUGUGUUGCAGAGGGGUAUUUACAGGCAGUUAAACAGGUACGUACGAGAACUGGCUCUGAAUCAGAAUCCCACCUCUGACCCCCUGGUUCUGAGCUUACAGUUGAACCAGAACAGCCCAAAGGCUGGGAAAGGCUUAUCCAGUUCUGGGCCCUGGGCUUUUGUUCCAGUCCAGCUCUUGUCUAUACGCGAUGUGAAAUACCCGUGUGGAGAGGCGUCAAGUUUUGCAGCGUAGUAGUGUUAUACACAGGUAAGAACUGGGGAUGUGGUGUAGGAUGAUUCUAGCUAAUACACACAGUUAGCUGGAAUGGCAUAGUCCCCCUAAGCCAGUUUUUGGUGCAGGAUUGUUAGGUACUAAUAGUCCCAUGGAACUAGUGUAAAUGUUGUAUAGAAGGGGCGGUUAUUGGGGCAGUAUGUACUCUCACACUCAGGUAAGUCUGCACAGUUAGUUAUUCACUAUAUAAGGGGAAGGCUGGCCUCUCUCUAUACAGAAUACAGGAGAGGGUAGCUUCAGCUUAAGGUCCUUAUUUGUGUGUUUUCUUUGGUGCUGUGAUAGCUCAUCACCUAAAACUCCAUCCUCCCCAAACCAGCUUCAGACCUGCCUACUCUGAGCUGGGAUCUGCCCCCAUCUGCUAUUUGCCUUAUGUUGUUUGGCUGCAUUGUCACUGGCGGGUUUGCAGCUCUGGUGAGUUGACACAUUCCCUCACUGCUGUUGCUCAUGUUCUGAGUAAAAAAUGCCUUUCUCUGCAGAUCGGGAGGGUGCAUCCCUCACAACGGGCCAGGCCAGGUUCGUAUCACAGCACAGAACGAAGGUUUGCUGUGUGGCUCAGCCCAGAAGAGGAUGGUCUCUCCAUCUGGGGCUGGCUUAUUGCCUGUGGGUAGGAGACUCCUGGGAUCUCUUUGCGUCAGCAUCCUCUCCAUGCUAGCCAGGAGGAAAGAGAUACUGGCUCCGUGGAGGCAGCUCCGUUCCUGUGGACUCCAAGCCAGGAUCCACGGGUUGGAUAGAGGACGUAGAGGAGAGAAGAGGCGCUGCCAGCGCACCGGAUGGAAGGAACUCCAGCCUCGAGAGCUGCCAUCUGCUUCUUGUCAGGUUGCUGUGCGCGUCCGUUCCUGGCUGCCUGCUGACGGAGGUUGCUGGAUCCCAGCAUGAGAACGUUGUUAUGACAGAUGGUCUGUUUACCGCUUUUCAUCCCUGCUCAGGAUUGCACAGGAUGUUAGUGCUUGUCUGCAAAAGACAUUUCUGGGUCUGGUCUCUCGCCCUCCCCCACUGUCCUUUUGCUCUCUCCACCCACCUCCUUCUCACCCCCUCUUUUCUCCCCACCUCCAGUGCUCUCUGUUGCUACCAUCUAUGGUUCUGAUCUGUGCACGCAGGCCUCAUGGGAUUCCUUCCUGAAACACCUCUGCCCACAGUGUAGGCCUCCCCUCCAUGCUAGUCAAGCCGCACAAGUGAGCAGAUUUUGUUGAGAGUCUCAGCUCCAGGGGCAACAGAUGGGAUCAGCAUUGGCUCCUAAGCCUUCAAGCAGGUGUUGGCCAGCUGUGUGGCCUCUGUCACAAUCAAGAUGCGCUGUUGCUUCAUUCAGGGGUGAGGAUCAGAGAGGCUGGUUUGACUUCCUUUAACUCCUUUAUGCCUGAGCCGUUCCCAGCUGGCACGUGUCCAGGGAUGGGGAACAUGCAAGGGAGGGGGUUGAAUUGCUAACAUUGUAUUGGAGACCCAAUGCCCUGGCCCUACCACUAGCCAGAGGCAUUCUCCCUGCUGCUGACUUUGCAGACAUCUCACUGCGAGUUCUGGCUGGAAGGGCCCAAUAGCCCAGGGCUCCCAUACAGACAUCAGUAUUGCCCUAGUAACGCCUUCCCUGAGCUCUGCCCUCUGCCCAGGCAACAGCUCCAGCAACACCCCUCCAUCCCUCCCCACAUCUGCUGCAAAUCCUGGGACCCAGAAAUCCACCACCGUCUGCUCUCCUGUUCGGUCCAAGGGGCGCAGACUCCUCCCAGUGUCCCUCAGCAGCAGGGACAGUCCGGCUGGCAUGCUGGGCGGGCCCUCGGCUAACCCAAGCAGCCCCUGCUGCACGCAGCACUUUGGGAAAUGCAAUGCAAACAGUUUAUGCUGGGAUCAGCUCUCCUCAUAAACACACUGAGACGCUUCCAAUUGCCUAAAUAGCCCCCAGGCACAGCUCAGGGCCUGUCCUGCUCUUUGUCCACAGCAGAGGGGCUGAUUAAUGGGCUUGUUUCCGGAGGAAACCGCAGUCCUGCUUUCCAUAGCCCUGCCGACCUGCCCCUCCCCCGCCUCAGCAGGUCUCCCAGGGCCAGCCAGCCAUCUGCAGCCGUGUUUAGUGCAGGAGGCAUAAAUUACAUGCCAGCUCAGCUUCAGAGAGACAGGAGCCUCCACUGCCAUAUAAAGAAAAGGAGUACUUGUGGCACCUUAGAGACUAACCAAUUUAUUUGAGCAUGAGCUUUCGUGAGCUACAGCUCACUUCAUAGGAUGCAUACCGUGGAAACUGCCAACAAGUUUUUUCAUGCAGUUGAUAGAUUUCCACUGCCAUAUAGGGGACUGAAGAGGCCUGGGAACCUCAGUCAGGCCCUGUUUACUUCCUCUCCUCGCCUUCUGCUCCCAUUUCAUGGGGGACUGUCUGUCUAUGUAGCUAUCUCUGGGCUUACCCUGCACCCAGCACCCCAGUAUCUGGGCCUCAUGGCUCUGUGGCCUUUGUCUGUUCUUUGCUUUUCAAACAGAAGCUCGUGUCCUUUCCCCAGGAGCUCCACUGGCCGGAUUGACAGCCCUGGAGCCAAAGGUCCCUGCUUAGCCCCAGAACGUGCCCGGCUACGCAGCAAGUGUCCGCUGCCCACCCCGACCUGGCAGAAGGCACUGCAGUCAGGCCCAUUCAGCCUCUCUGCUGCAGCUGCCAACAAGGGGUCAGUCAGGUCGUUCACGGUGGCCGUUCCAUGGGGAAGUGAACUCAGAUCUAGCCAAGGCCAUUCCAAGUCAAGGCCUCCAGCCAGCCUGCACUGGGAAGAGCAGCAUCUGGAGCAGUGAGCGGAUAACCCCCAUGAAGUGCUUGGAAUGUGCUGGUACAAGGCCUCUGUGAACCCUGGGUUUCUCUGGAGCCCUCCCCCCUGAGGAGUAUGCCAGCCUCACCCUGUGCUGGGGUAAUGGCAAUGUAUUCUCCCCCCACCCCCAGCAUCUGUACAUCGUUGUGGGUCACCCCAGGCUCUUGUGAGCUCCUUAAAACCCUGGCUGUCCAACUCCAUACCGCUCACGUCUCUCAUGCAUGGGUGCCUGCCACACUGACUCAACUCCCCAGCUCCUCUCCCAGCCUGCUCUGGGCUCCGCAUAAAACCCAGAUUGGCUCUUUGCAGGCGGCCUCAUCCCAUGUUUCAUUAGCUGCUCCUACCCCAAACAGCCCUUUCCCUGCCCUUGGCCGUACAGCUCCUUCCGCUGACCCAUGGCUGCUGCUGCACCUUCGCCCCGCUCUGCCCGAAAUCCCAGCGGGAACCGCGCCAUGUCACAGCUGACACACUCUGUGAUCAGGGCGCGUGACAGCAGGUGGGGGCUGGAGACAGACCCACGGUGCCUGAGACACACAUAUAUACACCCAUCCUAAAUCAGCUAUACCCAGUCACACACACUCACAGAGACACAGCUCUCUCUCUCUCUCCCUCUCCCCCCCGCCACAUGUCUGUGCGAGGCAACGCUGGAUGGCUACAGAUGGAGAUCCAUCAAUGUCUCCCAGCCCAAGGUGCAGUGCUGCAUCUCUGGUCAGUUGUGAGUCUGAGAUGAAGCACUGUAGCUCGGGAAGGGAGGAACUGUGCAGCAGAGGACAUGCAUCCGUUCAACAGGCCGCACGGGAGCCCAGGCCAGCAGGACUUAUGGCUCCAGGCAGCAGCUUCUCUUGAUGGGCAGCAAGAAGGGAAGACUCGCCACUUGGGUUCAGACCGAAGGAGUGGCAUAGGGUGUGAACUGGGGAGACAAACCCCCUGGCCACCUGAGGCUCAGCGCAGAGGUAGAGGGGAAGGUCUCUCGCACCAACCAGGCCACAGGGUGGUCUUCUGGUUCCAGGCAGGGGGUGGGAAGGUUAGGAGGGAUUUUCAGGAAGCCUGUUAUCAAGGCGGCCUCUAGUUGCCCUGCAGUUGCCUUCAUUGCUGGCUCUCUGUCCCAGUCUCCCCGCUGAACCCUAGGGUUGGGUUUCAAAGAGCUCUGGGUGUGCACGUGUGCAUGCACCUAUGUGGAUCUGUCAGCACAGUGAGUAUGCAUGUGCCGGCCAUGCUAAUUCCCUCCCCUUCCAUGGGCAGAGUGUGGCUUGCCUAUCCCAGCUGCACUUUGGGAACGUUCCCUAACGCUCGGCAAGGAGCCCGGAGCAGAGAGGAGCUCUGGGGAAUGACCCUCGCCCAUUACAAGAGCUCAGAUCUGUUAGGCCUGGGCAGGAGAUGUUGGGGGAGACGGACUCCAUGGCAGUAGAGCCCCCCAGGGCUGGCCAUUUGAGGAUCCUAUGUCGCAGAGUGCUUAUCUCGAGCUGUAAGGCAGAGAGACAUGCAUGGGGUUGCAGGAGGUAUAAGGAAGUGGCACACCCCAAAUAGUGGGCUGGAACUUCAUAGUUAGUGCCUGUGGGCUUGUGCUGCACCCCCCUCCAAAGUCCCCUGGGAAUGCAAGGCAUGUUAAGGGGGAUUCAUCUUCCACAGUGGGAGUAAAUUGGCUAAAGGAAUGAAGGGGGGGGCUGACAGGGGUCAGUGCAGGGAGGUCACAAGCUGGGUUUAGACACCUGUGCAGCACUCCCUCAGGGUGGCACCUGGCGCUGUGGAUGGCUAAAGGAUGCUCAUGUACUGGGGACGGCGGAAACCACACUUUCUCUCCCCGCCGUGUCCUCAGGGUCCAGUUUUCCCAGGAAUCCCUUAGGCACUAUGACGGGGAUUCCUGGAAAUACUGUUCUUGAGGCCAUGGCUCAGCAGCUGGAGAAGACCUGCCCCCUUCCGAUGCAGAGCCCUCCAGAAGUCAGCGGAGCUGGAGAGCAAGGUUUGGAAGCACGUCUGGGGAUUCGCUUCUGGCAAUUCCAGGCUGAGAGGAAGGGAGGAUGGGAGGGCGGAGCCCUCCAGCGCUGUCAUGCCAUGGCCAUGCUGGGUGUGAGGGGGGGGGUGUGAGCCCUGGUUUAACUCACCCCAGGUCCUCCAGACCAAGGUACAAGGCCCAAGCUCAGCCAAGUGCAUAGGAGCUAUUGCACCCCCCAAGACCAUAACUCAGUGCAGUGCAAAGCAAUCUAGGGGACCACCAGCAGGCCCGGAAGCUGCCCUAUGUGCUGGGAUCCUGCAGGAACGGAGCCUCUUCCUUUAUUAGCUCAGAGCUGGGAGUCACCGCUUCCCUUUGUAUCUCCCAAUCACCCCACUCCCUGGUGUGCUGCCAUCAGGGCUGUGGGGUGAGUCGCACAUGAGUAAACGCCUCCCUGGGGUCCUGGGUGUGUUACUUGGCCGCUGCUGUGUAAAUAAAGAUCUGGGUUCAUCA
Caretta caretta (loggerhead turtle) is the source of this 6025-nucleotide long non-coding RNA. RefSeq lists it as uncharacterized. The record is from RefSeq and is a predicted model, not a curated record. Lineage: Eukaryota; Metazoa; Chordata; Testudines; Cheloniidae.